GGGGGGCGGCUGUGCUUUCCUGCAAGAGCUCGUGGGGUCUUUCAACACAACCGCCAAGUUCGGGGUGCGUGGGAGAAUGGACAAGACCUGUGAAAUGAGCUACAAGGUGGUGGACAGCCCGCUGGGGGAGAUUGAGAUCUCUGCCUGUGAGCAGGGUGUGCAUGAGAUCAGGCUGCACGGCAGGAAGACCCCCGAUGCCCGAGCCGUGGAGGCCCCCCCUCUUCCUGAGCUGCUCGGCUGUCCAGGGGAAAUGACGGCGCCCCUGAAGCAGUGCGUGGCCUGGCUGGAUGCCUAUUUCCAUGAGCCGGCGGCCCUCAAAGACCUCCCCUUGCCUGCGAUUCACCAUCCCGUUUUCCAGCGAGAUUCGUUCACCAGACAGGUGUUGUGGAAGCUGCUGAAGGUUGUCAGACUCGGAGAAACGGUUUCUUACCGGCAAUUAGCAGCCCUGGCAGGCAGGCCCCGAGCAGCGCGGGCAGUGGGCGGAGCGAUGAGGACCAAUCCUUCGCGUUUUGCUGAGAGGGAGAUCCCCUCCAGGCCACGCUGAACUCCCCAGAGGAUGAGCUGUGUGGGGUGGCCGCACGCCUGUUGUACCCCGUAGGACAGAGGGCACUUUCUCCCCGUCAUACCCGUACCUGGGCCGCCGGCCAUGCUGUCUCCGGAAGGAAGUCCACCCUGUCCAGAGCCUGGCAGGGGCCUGCUAGCACAUUCGAAACAGUUUCUCCCCGAAGCGGUGGGAACGUCUGCGACGGGAUAGAAGCGUGCCAUCCUGUCAGGGGAUGACAUCCUGGGGGAGCGCGACAUCCUGGGGGAGGAGUUACUACAUCAGACGGACCUCCCUCCUUUGAAAAUGGCUGUAGCUUUGCUGUGUGUCCUCAAAAUUCUCUUCAUCCCCGUUGACCCCGGGCGAGGCGGGCGUUCACACACCCCAACCCGCCGCUCUUGCCAGUUGGCACCGACUGCCCUUGGUCAGAGCCCGGCAUCUCUAGGAGACGGCGAUUACCCAGCUUUCCGCACGACACGGCCUUGUUUGGUUGAAGCAGCAGCUCAUAGAGGAUUGCAGUGGAUCUCACUGUCUUGAUGCGUGUCUGAUCUGGAGAAGAGCUCUCUGCCUUGUUAAAAUCCGAUUGUCCGAGCAGCAUGUGAUGUGGACGACACAUCACACCCAGCCCGCAUCUCCCCAUCUAGAGUCCUCGGCGGCCGUGGCUGCUGAGCCCAGCGGGUGUCCUGUUGUGUUUUCGCUGCCACGUGCCCAGCUGCGUCUUCAGAGUCCACCCCCUCCACACCCUGCACACCCUGUGGGUGCACACGCUGACCAUGCGCACAGGAUGACUCGGAAUCAGGUUUAUGAGCAUGAUUUUUUACGCUUCUGACAAACUUUGACCCGCAUCAUUCCUCAGAAAGGCCACCGCCUUCUCCCAGGUUGUGUCUCCAUGUUGAGCAGUUGGACCGUGCUCUGGAUAGAAAGACGGCUGGGACACCGUGGUAUCCGGGCUCCGUUUCAUGCCUUGUGAGAAGGACGUCAGAAGCUGGCCGGGCUCUGCCUGUCCCGUCCCCUCCCCCCCCCCCCCCCCCCCCCGCGGUAGUGGCAUCCUGUGGACAUCCUCCCUUUGUCCCAGAUCUUCAUCUGUGUUGCGGGCCCCAUUUCUGCUCUCCGUGCCCUGUGUGUAAAGUCGGUCACCCACGCUGCUCACGGAGGCUUGACUUGACUCCCACCGUGUGACGCAGCAGGUGGGUGCCGCCGUCGCUGCCCCGGGCGUGGCUGCCGCCCGCCUCUGCUCCGAGAACAAGCGUUGCUAACGGACGGCGCGCAUCCGUAGCCCCGCACCUGCCUUCUGUGUGAUGACAGCAGUUUCUCACUCUCUGAAAGGGACGUGCCGUCACUGUUCAGCGAUCACGCUCCUGGCAAUAUUCAGAAACAUUUAUUGUUCUGCAACCAGCAUGACUCUCUUCUCUUGCUAUUAAUCUCGAUGAACAUCUCUCUUCAACUGUGGCCUCAGUCACUGAAAUUUAUAAAAUAGGAUCUCCCAAGGCUUAAAUCCCUAAUGUCCGUAAAGUCAACGUAUUGACUUCCCCGCCUCGUGCCCAGGUCAAGAAUGGCAGCGACGACAUCAGGCAUGAGGACCGAGCAAGCGCCUGGUCCCUCCUCUUGGUGCUGUCCUGUGCCACGAGCAGCCAGGCACGAGCCAGGCCACGAGCCCUCGGGGCCUGGCCACGUGUCCCUCUGUUGUCGGGCGCCGCACGUAACCCAUGCAGGGACCGUCCACGCGAGGCGGUUGUGGAGAUGCCGGCAGCUGCAGGGCGGAGCAGGGCUUCCAGGCCUGGUGCCGACAUGCCACAGGUGCGCCUGCGAGAAAAACUUGGAAGGUGUAGCCAACUUCCGCUCAGCCUCCCAGGGAGCUCUGCGGUCCUCACGGGGUUCCCGUAAAGUUGAUCUAAAACCUCCUUGGAAUGGGCUGGGGCGUCCAAGAGGUGACCCAGGAACCCGCCACGACUGAUGUGGCUGCCCCACGUGGGUGCCCCCUUUCCUGGGUGCUGGCAGCACAAGGCCCAACGCGGAGCGCCACGCAUCAGCUCCAGCACCGACAGAGCAUCGCUGAGAGCUGCUCGUUGAAAAUCUCUCUCAGUUUAGGCUGAGUAGAGCAAUUGUACCUUUUGGGAAGGAGAGUAAAAAAAUGGGUUUGGAAUGUGGCAAAACAC
This is an RNA transcript of Felis catus (domestic cat), 2697 nucleotides long. It is a transcript of the gene named O-6-methylguanine-DNA methyltransferase, with no coding region annotated. Lineage: Eukaryota; Metazoa; Chordata; Mammalia; Carnivora; Felidae. The transcript is spliced from 6 exons. The record is from RefSeq and is a predicted model, not a curated record.